Molecule: long non-coding RNA, 602 nt
Organism: Engraulis encrasicolus (European anchovy)
Lineage: Eukaryota; Metazoa; Chordata; Actinopteri; Clupeiformes; Engraulidae
Exons: 3
Source: RefSeq, a predicted model, not a curated record
AUGUGGACAAAAGGUCCACGAGCGCCACUUACUGCCCACGCGAGGUAUUUUAUUCUGCGCGCGCGUGUAGACACUCUCGCGCGCGCGAUUUUGCUCUGCGCGCGCGCGCAAACGCUGCCACGCGCGCGCAAACACCAUCUCACGCGCGAGAGGUGACAUGAAUUUCCUCACGCGCGCGAGCAGAAAUAUGAAUAUUUAAAUAAUCUCCUCCCACUGAUUAGCAUAACCAACGAGGCGGAAGUUUGUUUAGUCUGAAAUAAUCAGACACAGAUCUGAAGAGCAAUUGUUGAUAUCGUUGCUACGGUAACUGCAGCUGGCGUUUACUGACGAGUGGAAUGACUCUAUUGCUUACCAUUUUUAUGAAAACAUUGUUUUUAAUUGUUUAUUUCAUGGGCGAACUUGUUGAGAUUCGCAGACAGCAGAUGAGGAAUAAAUUGCUGAUCGGCGGCCCUUGUACGGAGGUUGUCACACACAGCCAACGAAACCACAUGGGCAACAUGGAAGAGCAAUUGCCAAAGCUUUUGGGCCUUUGCCUGGAUUUCAUCACACAGCAGCAAUAGGUCUCUAGGACUCUGGUUAGGUAGCCUGUAUACACUUUAUUU